GAGAGCUUGCUCUCGGGUGACGAGUGGCGGACGGGUGAGUAAUGUCUGGGAAACUGCCUGAUGGAGGGGGAUAACUACUGGAAACGGUAGCUAAUACCGCAUAACGUCGCAAGACCAAAGAGGGGGACCUUCGGGCCUCUUGCCAUCAGAUGUGCCCAGAUGGGAUUAGCUAGUAGGUGGGGUAAUGGCUCACCUAGGCGACGAUCCCUAGCUGGUCUGAGAGGAUGACCAGCCACACUGGAACUGAGACACGGUCCAGACUCCUACGGGAGGCAGCAGUGGGGAAUAUUGCACAAUGGGCGCAAGCCUGAUGCAGCCAUGCCGCGUGUAUGAAGAAGGCCUUCGGGUUGUAAAGUACUUUCAGCGGGGAGGAAGGUGUUGUGGUUAAUAACCGCAGCAAUUGACGUUACCCGCAGAAGAAGCACCGGCUAACUCCGUGCCAGCAGCCGCGGUAAUACGGAGGGUGCAAGCGUUAAUCGGAAUUACUGGGCGUAAAGCGCACGCAGGCGGUCUGUCAAGUCGGAUGUGAAAUCCCCGGGCUCAACCUGGGAACUGCAUUCGAAACUGGCAGGCUAGAGUCUUGUAGAGGGGGGUAGAAUUCCAGGUGUAGCGGUGAAAUGCGUAGAGAUCUGGAGGAAUACCGGUGGCGAAGGCGGCCCCCUGGACAAAGACUGACGCUCAGGUGCGAAAGCGUGGGGGAGCAAACAGGAUUAGAUACCCUGGUAGUCCACGCCGUAAACGAUGUCGACUUGGAGGUUGUGCCCUUGAGGCGUGGCUUCCGGAGCUAACGCGUUAAGUCGACCGCCUGGGGAGUACGGCCGCAAGGUUAAAACUCAAAUGAAUUGACGGGGGCCCGCACAAGCGGUGGAGCAUGUGGUUUAAUUCGAUGCAACGCGAAGAACCUUACCUACUCUUGACAUCCAGAGAACUUUCCAGAGAUGGAUUGGUGCCUUCGGGAACUCUGAGACAGGUGCUGCAUGGCUGUCGUCAGCUCGUGUUGUGAAAUGUUGGGUUAAGUCCCGCAACGAGCGCAACCCUUAUCCUUUGUUGCCAGCGGUUAGGCCGGGAACUCAAAGGAGACUGCCAGUGAUAAACUGGAGGAAGGUGGGGAUGACGUCAAGUCAUCAUGGCCCUUACGAGUAGGGCUACACACGUGCUACAAUGGCGCAUACAAAGAGAAGCGACCUCGCGAGAGCAAGCGGACCUCAUAAAGUGCGUCGUAGUCCGGAUUGGAGUCUGCAACUCGACUCCAUGAAGUCGGAAUCGCUAGUAAUCGUAGAUCAGAAUGCUACGGUGAAUACGUUCCCGGGCCUUGUACACACCGCCCGUCACACCAUGGGAGUGGGUUGCAAAAGAAGUA
Molecule: ribosomal RNA, 1360 nt
Filed under: Enterobacter sp.
Lineage: Bacteria; Pseudomonadati; Pseudomonadota; Gammaproteobacteria; Enterobacterales; Enterobacteriaceae
Description: bacterial SSU rRNA
Rfam family: Bacterial small subunit ribosomal RNA
Source: RNAcentral